RNAcentral lists this ribosomal RNA (875 nucleotides) under uncultured bacterium. RNAcentral describes it as "bacterial SSU rRNA". It matches the Rfam family "Bacterial small subunit ribosomal RNA", at positions 8 to 916 of the family's 1533-position model. The record is from RNAcentral.
AGAGUUUGAUCCUGGCUCAGGAUAAACGCUGGCGGCGUGCCUAACACAUGCAAGUCGAACGCCCUUACUUUCGGGUAAGGGAGUGGCGGACGGGUGAGGAACACGUGGGUACCUACCUUUCGGUGAGGGAUACCGGCGAGAAAUCGCCGACAAUACCGCAUACGCUUCUCUAGGGAAGCAAAGUCGCAAGACGCCGGGAGAUGGGCCUGCGCCCGAUUAGCUAGCUGGUGGGGUAAGAGCUCACCAGGGCAACGAUCGGUAGCUGGUCUGAGAGGACGAUCAGCCACACUGGGAUUGAGAACGGCCCAGACUCCUACGGGGGGCAGCAGUGAGGAAUUUUCGUCAAUGGGGGCAACCCUGAACGAGCAACGCCGCGUGCAGGAAGAAGGUCUUCGGAUCGUAAACUGCUUUUCUGUGGGAAGAGAAGGGACGGUACCACAGGAAGAAGCCCCGGCUAACUACGUGCCAGCAGCCGCGGUAAUACGUAGGGGGCGAGCGUUGUCCGGAGUUACUGGGCGUAAAGCGCACGCAGGCGGUGCGGUAAGUUCCAUGUGACAGUGCCCGGCUUAACUGGGCAAGGCUGUGGAAAACUGCCGGACUUGAGGGCCAGAGAGGGACAUAGAAUUCCGGGUGGAGUGGUGAAAUGCGUAGAUAUCCGGAGGAAUACCAAAGGCGAAGGCAGUGUCCUGGCUGGCAACUGACGCUGAGGUGCGAAAGCUAGGGGAGCGAACAGGAUUAGAUACCCUGGUAGUCCUAGCCGUAAACGAUGACCACUAGAUGUGCGGGGUAUCGACCCCCUGCGUGUCGGAGCAAACGUUUUAAGUGGUCCGCCUGGGGAGUACGGUCGCAAGAUUAAAACUUAAAGGAAUUGACGG